RNAcentral lists this ribosomal RNA (253 nucleotides) under uncultured bacterium. RNAcentral describes it as "partial 16S ribosomal RNA". It matches the Rfam family "Bacterial small subunit ribosomal RNA", at positions 524 to 776 of the family's 1533-position model. The record is from RNAcentral.
GACGUAGGGCGCGAGCGUUGUCCGGAUUUAUUGGGCGUAAAGAGCUCGUAGGCGGUUUGUCGCGUCGUUCGUGAAAACUCACAGCUUAACUGUGAGCUUGCGGUCGAUACGGGCAGGCUAGAGUUCGGUAGGGGAGACUGGAAUUCCUGGUGUAGCGGUGAAAUGCGCAGAUAUCAGGAGGAACACCGGUGGCGAAGGCGGGUCUCUGGGCCGAUACUGACGCUGAGGAGCGAAAGCGUGGGGAGCGAACGGG